This 81-nucleotide transfer RNA is filed under the name Ipomoea nil (Japanese morning glory). It matches the Rfam family "tRNA". From Rfam's summary of the family: Transfer RNA (tRNA) molecules are approximately 80 nucleotides in length. The record is from Rfam by way of RNAcentral. Lineage: Eukaryota; Viridiplantae; Streptophyta; Magnoliopsida; Solanales; Convolvulaceae.
GUCAAGAUGGCCGAAUUGGUCUAAGGUGCCAGUUUUAGGUAUUGGUCCGAAAGGGCAUGGGUUCAAAUCCCAUUCUUAACA